AGUCGACGACUCUGGUAUUGAUUGGUGCUUGCAUCAUGAUUUACAUUUGAGUGAGUGGCGAACUGGUGAGUAACCCGUGGGAAACCUGCCCAGAAGCGGGGGAUAACCCCUGGAAACAGAUGCUAAUACCGCAUAACAACUUGGACCGCAUGGUCCGAGUUUGAAAGAUGGCUUCCGCUUUCACUUUUGGAUGGUCCCGCGGCGUAUUAGCUAGAUGGGGGGGUAACGGCUCACCAUGGCAAUGAUACGUAGCCGACCUGAGAGGGUAAUCGGCCACAUUGGGACUGAGACCCCGCCCAAACUCCUACGGGAGGCAGCAGUAGGGAAUCUUCCCCAAUGGACGAAAGUUUGAUGGAGCACCGCCCCCUGAGUGAAGAAGGGUUUCGGCUCGUAAAACUCUGUUGUUAAAGAAAAACAUAUCUAAGAGUAACUGUUCAGGUAUUGACGGUAUUUAACCAAAAAGCCACGGCUAACUACGUGCCACCAGCCGCGGUAAUACGUAGGUGGCAAGCGUUGUCCGGAUUUAUUGGGCGUAAAGCGAGCGCAGGCGGUUUUUUAAGUCUGAUGUGAAAGCCUUCGGCUCAACCGAAGAAGUGCAUCGGAAACUGGGAACACUUGAGUGCAGAAGAGGACAGUGGCACUCCAUGUGUCGCGGUGAAAUGCGUAUAUAUAUGGAAGAACACCAGUGGCGAACGGCGGCUGUGUGGUCUGUCACUGACUGCUGAGGCUCGAUAGUAUGGGUAGCAAAGCAGGAUUUACAUACGCUGGUUAGUCCAUACCAGCAAGCAAUGCAAUGCGUACGGG
Molecule: ribosomal RNA, 804 nt
Filed under: Lactiplantibacillus plantarum
Lineage: Bacteria; Bacillati; Bacillota; Bacilli; Lactobacillales; Lactobacillaceae
Description: bacterial SSU rRNA
Rfam family: Bacterial small subunit ribosomal RNA
Source: RNAcentral